GGGGUUGUGGCUCAGUGGUAGAGCGCUUGCCUAGCAUGCAUGAGGCACUGGGUUCAAUCCCCAGCACCACA
This 71-nucleotide transfer RNA is filed under the name Marmota monax (woodchuck). RNAcentral's name for it is "tRNA.Ala". It matches the Rfam family "tRNA". From Rfam's summary of the family: Transfer RNA (tRNA) molecules are approximately 80 nucleotides in length. The record is from RNAcentral. Lineage: Eukaryota; Metazoa; Chordata; Mammalia; Rodentia; Sciuridae.